UAUAUGAAAAUCUUGUGAUCUUCUGCUAGUUUUUGCUGUGGAACUAAAACUGCUCUAAAAAAUAGAAGUCUGUUAAAAAUCAUAUGCUCAAACAAUAUUGACUUUUAAAUAAAAUCUGUAGCCCUGUUCAUUAUAGAAGAUUGAAAUGUAAAUGUAUCUGAAGAUUAUUCUGCCAAAGGAUAAGUCUUGUUUGAAUUUCAAAUCGAUCAGAAAAUGAAGAGGAAAACUGAGGACAUUUUACUGAAGGACAAAAUUUUCAGUAACAUAUUUUCUUUCUUGCACGUACUCCAGGAAAAUGCUCUAGAACGCUUUAUAAGCACAGUGGAAAUUCAGGUAAAUGAACAUCCCAUUUGUUUAUUCUUUCUAUUGCUUCCCUUGUCUGAGAAGACAUGGUGUCCAAAAAGAUCCUUUCGAUACUGAUGUCAAAGAGUGUACUGCCUACAUUUUCUUCUAGAAGCCUUAUGGUUUCAGAUCUCACCUUUAGGUCUUUGAUCCAUUUUGAAUGUAUUUUGGUGAAUGGUGAAAAAGAAUGGUUAAUUUUCAUUCUUUUACAUGUGGCUGUCCAGUUUUCCCAGCACCAUUUGUUGAAGAGACUUUCUUUUCUCCAUUGUAUGCCCUCAGCUCCUUUGUCGAAGAUUAGCUGUCCACAGAUGUGUGGUUUUACUUCUGGGAUUUCAAUUCUGUUCCAUUGAUCUGUGCACCUGUUUUUGUACCAGUACCAUGCUGUUUUGAUUACUGUAGCUUUGGAGUAUGUUUUAAGGUCAGGGAUAGUGAUGCCUCCAGCUUUGUUCUUCUUUCUCAGGAUUGCUUUAGCAAUUUGAGGUCUUUUGUUGCCCCAUAUGAAUUUUAGGAUUCUUUGUUCUAUUUCUUUAAAGAAUGUCAUUGGGAUUCUGAUUGGGAUGGUGUUGAAUCUGUAGAUUGCUUUAGGUAGAAUGAACAUUUUAACUAUGUUUAUUCUUCCAAUCCAUGUGCAUGGAAUGUCUUUCCAUCUCUUUAUGUCAUCAUCCGUUUCUUUCAGAAAAGCCUUGUAAUUUUCGUUGUAUAGGUCUUUACUUCCUUAGUUAAAUUCACCCCAAGGUAUUUUAUUCUUUUUGUUGUGAUUGUGAAUGGUUUUGUGUUCUUGAGUUCUUUUUCUGUUAGUUCAUUAGUAGAGUAUAGAAAUGUGACUGAUUUAUGUAAAUUGAUUUUAUACCCUGCAACUUUGCUGUAGUUGUUGAUUACUUCUAAAAGUUUUCCAAUGGAUUCUUUGGGGUUUUCUAUAUAUAAGAUCAUUUCAUCUGCAAACAGGGAGAGUUUCACUUCUUCCCUCCCUAUUUGGAUUCCUUUUAUUCCUUUUUCUUGCCUAAUUGCUCUGGCCAAAACCUCCAGUACUAUGUUAAAUAAGAGUGGUGAUAGAGGGCAUCCUUGUCUCAUUCCUGUUUUCAGGGCGAUGGCGCUCAGUUUUUGCCCAUUGAAUAUGAUGUUGGCUGUGGGUUUGUCAUAUGUGGCCUUUAUUAUGUUGAGGUAGUUCCCUUCUAUCCCCAUUUUGUUCAGAGUUUUUAUCAUAAAUGACUGUUGGAUCUUGUCAAAUGCUUUCUCUGCAUCUAUUGAGAUGAUCAUGUGGUUUUUAUUCCUCAGUUUGUUGAUGUGGUGUAUCACGUUGAUUG
This is a long non-coding RNA of Equus caballus (horse), 1646 nucleotides long. NCBI's taxonomy places the organism in Eukaryota, Metazoa, Chordata, Mammalia, Perissodactyla, Equidae. The record is from Ensembl.